RNAcentral lists this unclassified non-coding RNA (314 nucleotides) under plant metagenome. RNAcentral's name for it is "partial contains 5.8S ribosomal RNA, internal transcribed spacer 2, and large subunit ribosomal RNA". The stretch from base 1 to 105 matches the Rfam family "5.8S ribosomal RNA", at positions 50 to 154 of the family's 154-position model. The record is from RNAcentral.
GAAAUGCGAUAAUUAAUGUGAAUUGCAGAAUUCAGUGAAUCAUCGAGUCUUUGAACGCACAUUGAGCCCCCUGGUAUUCCGGGGGGCAUGCCUGUCCGAGCGUCAUUGCUGCCCUCAAGCACGGCUUGUGUGUUGGGCUUCCGUCCCUGGCAACGGGGACGGGCCCAAAAGGCAGUGGCGGCACCAUGUCUGGUCCUCGAGCGUAUGGGGCUUUGUCACCCGCUCCCGUAGGUCCAGCUGGCAGCUAGCCUCGCAACCAAUCUUUUUAACCAGGUUGACCUCGGAUCAGGUAGGGAUACCCGCUGAACUUAAGC